GGUAAAAAUAACUGCGGUGACAAUGAUGAUGAUAAGAAUGAGAAUGAACAUUGAGAUGGCGGUACCAAUGUGUCGAUGACAAUGAUGACAAUGCUGAUAAAAAUGAUAAUACCGCUGCUGUUGCUGCCGUAGCAGACGGUGGCAAUGUCACUGAUGAUGGUGGUAACAAUGACAACCAUAAUGAUGACAGAUGAUGACAAAUGAUAUUGGUGAAGCGCAACACGAUAUUAUAUUACUACACAGCAGAAGACAAGAAAAUAGAAUAUAUGACAAAGGAAAUGAAGAUCUGCUGUGAAAUUGUAAAAGAGAUUUCAUUACAAUAGAAUACAUGACAGCUUGAUGCACAGCUUUACAAUAGAAUACAAUCCAGCCGAAACCUAAUAUAUCGAAUACAAGUGCAGCGAAGAAUAGAAGCAUGGAUUAUCUUACUAAAAUGCAAGGGAAUUAUCUUAUUGUAUUAUGUACUAUGAACGCUUAACAAUAAAUAAAUAAAUGCUUUUCAA
Octopus bimaculoides (California two-spot octopus) is the source of this 503-nucleotide long non-coding RNA. RefSeq lists it as uncharacterized. NCBI's taxonomy places the organism in Eukaryota, Metazoa, Mollusca, Cephalopoda, Octopoda, Octopodidae. The record is from RefSeq and is a predicted model, not a curated record.